UGCCAGCAUCCGCGGUACUACUGGGGAUGCAAGCGUUAUCCGGAAUCAUUGGGCGUAAAGCGCCUGUAGGUUGUUUAUCAAGUCUGUUGUUAAAGACUAGGGCUCAACCCUAGAAAAGCAAUGGAAACUGAUAGACUAGAGUAUGGCAGGGGUAGAGGGAAUUUCUAGUGUAGCGGUGAAAUGCGUAGAUAUUAGAAAGAACACCGGUGGCGAAAGCGCUCUACUGGACCAUUACUGACACUCAGAGGCGAAAGCCAGGGUAGCAAAAGGGAUUAGAUA
RNAcentral lists this ribosomal RNA (279 nucleotides) under uncultured bacterium. Its description in RNAcentral is "partial 16S ribosomal RNA". It matches the Rfam family "Bacterial small subunit ribosomal RNA", at positions 506 to 784 of the family's 1533-position model. The record is from RNAcentral.